This 1378-nucleotide long non-coding RNA is filed under the name Coturnix japonica (Japanese quail). RNAcentral's name for it is "lncRNA (ENSCJPG00005006489.1)". The record is from RNAcentral. Lineage: Eukaryota; Metazoa; Chordata; Aves; Galliformes; Phasianidae.
GGGGGGCAAUUAGUGGGGGGGCAUUAAUGGGGGGGCAUGAACAGGGGGGGGGGGCACCAUAAUUUGCAGAGGAGGGGGCAAUAAGUGGGGGGCACCAAAUGGUCGAGAAAUGGGGUUUUUUAAUGGGAUUUUAUCUGGUUGUUUUUUGUAUAGGAACGUGAGAAGUUCGGGGGAACCUGAAAUGGUUCCACCACAUGGAACAGGUGAAGGCUCCCCGUUCCCCCCCCCCGGUGCUUCGGGAGCUGCCGCUGCUCAGACGGAACAUGGAGGAGCUGCACCAGCUGCUGGGGGGGGCACAGCAACAGGCACUGAGGCUGGGCCGCUGGAGGCGGAGCCAGAGCUGGAGGCGGCCGUCGCCAUGGGAACAGAACCGGAAGUGCUGGAAGCAGCGUCUGCUGGCGGCAUCCAACCAGCAAUGGCUGCAGGCGGCUCAGGAGCUCCUUGGCCGCCAUUCCCCGCGCUCUGUGCUGUGGGCUCUGAGUCACAUGACCAAGGAAUCCAUCCGGGAGCUGCAGGCCCCGCCCAGGAUUGUUGGAACACAGUGGGGGGGCUUUGGGCCCUGGCCCCCCCCAUAGCGGCUCGGCUGCCCCACAUGAGACAACGACUGCGGGACAUACAGGAACAGAUGGGGGAGGAGACAAGGUCUGACCCAUAAGUGACACCCCAGCCCCAUAAGUGACCCCAUAGACCCAUAACUGCCCCCCCAGCCCCAUAACUAGCCCCCAGCCCCAUAAGUGCCCCCCCCCAGCCCCAUAAGUGACCCCAAAGACCCACAAGUGACACCCCAUACCCAUAAAGUGCCUUUCCAGCCCCAUAAGUGACCCCACCAGCCCCAUAUGUGUCCUUCCAGCCCCAUAAGUGACCCCUUCAGCCCCAUAAGUUACCCCCCAGCCCCAUAGGUGCCCUUCCAGCCCCAUAAGUGCCCCCCCCCAGCCCCAUAAGUGCCCUUCCAGCCCCAUAAGUGACCCACCAGCCCCAUAAGUGACACCUUCAGACCCAUAAGUGACACCUUCAGCCCCAUAAGUGCCCUUCAAGCCCCAUAAGUGCCUUUCCAGCCCCAUAAGUGACACCUUCAGCCCCAUAAGUGACACCUUCAGCUCCAUAAGUGACCUACAAGCCCCAUAAGUGCCUUCCCCAGCCCCAUAAGUGACCUCCCCAGCCCCAUAAGUGCCCUUCCAGCCCCAGAAGUGCCCUUCCAGCCCCAUAAGUGACCCCCCCAGCCCCAUAAGUGCCUUUCCAGCCCCAUAAGUGACCCCUUCAGCCCCAUAAGUGCCCCCCCAGGCCCCAUAAGUGACCUUCUAGCCCCAUAAGUGCCCCCUUCAGCCCCAUAAGUGACCCCCCCUGCCCCAUAAGUGCCCUUCCAGCCCCAUAAGUGCCC